This 36822-nucleotide long non-coding RNA is filed under the name Manihot esculenta (cassava). Its description in RNAcentral is "long non-coding RNA (MESC_LNC006395)". Lineage: Eukaryota; Viridiplantae; Streptophyta; Magnoliopsida; Malpighiales; Euphorbiaceae. The record is from RNAcentral.
GACUCUCUCUCUCCUUGGCUUUUCAUUUCCUACCUUGACUGACUCUCUCUCUCUCUCUCUCAUCGUAACCUUGUGGGCAGCCAUGGCUGGGUCUUACUUUCGCUGGUUCAAGAAUAACGAAGGAAACGCCAAUGACCAAAACAGAGGAGGUAUAUCUUUGCUUAUACUGUAAGAUAAAUCCAACUCUGUUGGAAUUUCUUACCUUCUAAUAUCUAUAUUAAUAUAUAAAAAUCCAAAUCACUGUAUCAUGAUCAUAUAUGAUUAGAUUUGUUUGUUAUGUUAUAGACCUAUUUUUCUUAUUUGAUUUAUCAAUUUUUGUUUUUCAGAUAUUAAUUAUUGACAAUAAAACUUAUAUUUAAAAAUAAAAAAAGAAAGCCCUUCUCAUUUGAUUCUCUUUUGUUUUCAAUUAUUAAAAACAGAGGAAAAUGCAAUUCCAGAACCAAGCAGAGGAGGUAUGUUACAAGUGAAUUGCUAAACAUCCUAUUUGAAAUUUCGAUUAUGUGUGAAAUUUAUAUUUGCCGUACUACAUCUUUUAGUUUCGUAAGGAAUUAUUGACUUAAAAGUAGACCUAGCUAGAUCUAUGGAACGGAAUAAAUGGAAAAUUGAAAUAUGAGUAUUUUAAUAAUCAAACCGAAUUGAUUUUAAUCAAAAAUUAAAUCAAAUCGAAUCGAUUUGAUUCAAUUUAAUUUAAUGAGUUUUAGUUUUUAAUAAAUUUUUUUAUUUUUUACGCCGUUUUUUAAUAUUUUAAAAUUUAAUUGAAAUAUUUUAAUCUAUAAUCUAAUCUCUUUAUAUUAUUAAAAAUAAUAUAUUAUUACCAUCAAUCAGUUCAGUUUGAUUAUUUUAAUUUUUUUUUUAUCAAAAUCAAACCGAAUUGAAAUAACUAAAAUUUUUAAAAUUAAAAUUCGAAUUGAAAUAAAUAAAAAAUUUAACUUAAUUUUUAAAUUAAUUCAGUUCGGUUAAUUUUUUCGAUUUGAAUUCAAUACUGCUCACUCUUAACCAGAUUUAUUCAAGCCGUGAAUUGAAUUGAAAUGAUCAAUUAAAUUCUAAGGUGACUCCCCCUUAUGAAUGAGAAAAAAUGGGAUUUUUAUAAUGUUUUGAUGUUUAACCUAGGGUUUUAGAGUCAAAAUAAGAGGAAAAUUAUAUUCUUAUAGUGUCUCACGACUAGGCCGUGCCUGAGGAGACUUUGUCUCGGCCCAGUUGAUCAAGUAUAAUUUAGCGACAUUUUUCUUAUUAUUAUUACUAUUUAAAUAUGUAUUUUCUUACCUUAAUUUAUAUUUUUACAAUAUUUUUGCAGAAAAGGAGAAAAAUGGAAACUUGGAGAAAAAUAGCUUGAAAUGCUAGAAAACUGAUUUGGCCGAAGCGAUUUGACCAAAUCAAGCCUCAAAGAAUGCCAAAGGCAGCUACAAGAAGAGGAAGCUAACCUACAAGACUUGAUAUGCCUAUGUUGAUUUGCCCGGAUCGUUGGCCAAAUCACCUUAAGAAAAGUUGAAACUGAAACCCGGAGGAAACACGCAGAAAUGAUUUGGGCGAGGGAUUUGCUCAAAUCACUGUCUAAAUCAACGGUCCUCAGCAAGAAAAUACAGAAGCACGGAAAAGCAAAAAUCCAAAGAUUCAAACGUCUUAGAGUCCUAUCCUACUUCAAAUACACCAAGACCAAUCCUAUGACACCACAUAAACUGCACCAAAAGGAGUCCUACACCAAAUGAGAUCUAUUCAUGCUAGAAUAUAAGAUAAAGAAGAAAUAAAAAAAAGACCAUCAAAGACCAAGUCUAAAUAAGAUUCCAACUCCAAGAAGGAUUAAGACUUCUCACCUAUAAAAAAGGGCAGCAACCAACAGCAAAAAAAUAUCAGAAUUUUGGGCAGAAGCUUCGACAACACCUCUCGCUCUCAUUUUCUUCUUCUUUUUCUCUUUUAUGUGUUCUUUAUCCACCAUGAGUGGCUAAAAACUUUUAUCUCUAGUUGAAGUUGGAGAAAUUUCAGUUUGUUAUGAAUUGGGAGAUUUGAAACUCCAUUGUUAAAACUUUUAUUUUUCAAGAUUUAUGCAACUUGUUCUUCAUGUCUAUUAUUGCCUUGCUAUUAGAAUCAAUAAGGGCCCAUUGCUUUUAAUUAUAGGUAAUAUAUUGUUAGUUUAAAUAAUUUAGGUCUGUAAUUGCUUAGAUUAUUUGAACACAAGUAACAAUUGGUUGCAUGAUCUAACUUAACCACGCGGUUGACAUUAGAAUUAGGUUUCUCUAUUUUUUAAUGCAGUUAACAGUUGAAAAGUGAAAAACUCUAAAGACGUUCCUUGGCAAUUUGUUAACUAGUGUUUGAUUAACGAACAUUUCCUAAUCAAAUUAAAACUAAUGAGGAAUUUGGUUGUGGGAAGCGUCUUCCACAACCUAAACUAAUUUAUUAAUAUAAAUAGAAGUAUCCAAGCGUCAAUGAUCAAUUCUAAACUGAAAUGGAUCAUAUACUUCAAUUAGAGUCUUUUUAUUAUUGAUUUACCCAUCUUUUAAUUAUUGCUCUCUUUACUACUUUAGUAUUAAUCUUAGAUCAUCAUCAUAAAAAACAACCCCCUUUAUUUUAUUUUUGUUAGUUGAUUUGCCCCGGUCAUUGUUAGGAAAGUCUUUAGUGUCAAAUCUCUGUGUUUCGAUCCUAUUGCCACUAUCUACAGUUCUUUUUGGUGAUUAUUAAUAGAUUUAUUUUUUACGAUUUCGACAACCGCUAUCACUAGUGGUGAAAACUACUGUCCAUUUAGGCAAAAAACAUGUCUCACGACAAGGUUGUGAGACAUUUUGACCUCAUUUUUUUUUUCUAUUCAUUGCUCCUCAUGGCCUAUUUGUGAAUUUUGGUUGGCCAUGAGAAGUUUUGACUUUUGAUCUCCAAAAUGUUCAAAAUCUUCAAAAUAAACUCCAAUUCUACUUUAGAAAUAAAAAAAAUUAAUAAAAGUUAGAUAUUUUAAAAUUAAUAUCUACCAAAUAAAAAUUAUAUAAAAAAUAAGUAUAGAAUUGUAUUUAAAUGUGGUAAAAAUAAAUAUAAAAAUUUAUUAUAUUAAUAAGUGAAAUAUUAGUUAACUUAAAAUAUGUAUUUUUUUUAAUUUUAAUUGGAACCUAUCAUCCUAGGUUCUUCAGUUUUUGCAUUCAACUGAAUUUAUUUGCAUCUGGGUAUGGAUCUGAAAUUUGCUGUGGAUAAGAUAUAUAUACACACACACGUAUAAAUAUGGUUAACAAUGGAGAAGGAUAUUGUAGCAAUGGGAGAUUGAACUGGUAGCACAAUUAUUGGCUUUCAUUAAUACAAUUAGAACAUAUAUAGACUGAGAGAAAUCAUCACCUCAUUUAGGAAGUUUAAUUAAUGUUACAGAUUCUCUUUAUCAAUUAUAACAAAACCUGAACGAAUUAAAUAAACCAUUUGUUAUUAUGUAAAUUAAAGAAUGAAUAAUUAAAAAAUCACAAUCAUAUGAAUUAGGUUCACCUUCCAGAUCGUUGACUUUUGAAAAAGGGUUAAAAUACUAAUUAAAUUUGAAGGCCAUGAUUGUUCAUGGAUAGAGUCUUAGCAUAAGUGUAUCCAUUCAUACGUCUAAGUGGAAAUCACGUUAACCUUAUGCCUUAAUAAACAAUACACAACUUGUUAUUUUUGUAAGACUUUUAUAUUUUUAUUUUAUUUUCAUUGUUGGCCACUACACGAAAUUGAUUGGUCAAUUAUUGAGUUAAAGUUAGAAUAAAGAGAAACUCAUUGAGCUAAAGUUACCUACUGUCUUCCUUCAUCCUUCCUACUUACUCUCUAUCUCUGACCAUUCCCAUUCACACUCUAUAAGAACUGUAUUAUAUUUAUACUUGCAACAAACCUCUGGUCGUGGUUGCAUAAGUCUGCAAGUUCCGAUGGCCUCUCGCUUGGGGAUGAACGGGGCAGAUCGCCGGAUGGAAACUAGAGGUAUUACUUGUUUUUAGCUGAAACUGUUGUACCAAAUAGUAAUAGUUCAUGGAGAUUUCAUUUCAUCUAACUCAUUGGGGCAUGUUGUCUAUUGAUUGUCACUGAGCACAGAUCCAAAUGAAUCUGGCUCAUCUCCUGAGAAGAGACCAAGUCAUACAUCUGCAUCUGUCAAUUAUAAUGAUAUUGGGCCAAAGCCAUAUUCAUACAGUGAAUUAGCAAGGGUAACUGGUCAUUUCUCGCUUAAUAACCUAAUUGGUCGAGGUGGUUUUGGUCAUGUUUUUAAGGCAGUCUUAGAUGGUGAGAUUCGUGCUAUCAAGAAACUUGAUUUUCUGGAUGUACAAUCUGAAGGAAGUUUGGAGAGGGAGAUUAUGGUCAUCAAAAGCAUCAGCCACAGAAACCUCGUUGAACUGGUUGGUUACUGUAUUGAUGGAGCCAAUAGAUUGCUCAUCUUAAAGUAUUUUCCAAAUGGAUCCUUGAGAUUUAAAUUACAUGGUGAGUCCCAUAUCCUUUCUUUUACUUUUAUGUUCAUCUAACUAAUCAAUAUGACAUAAUUAAUCUUACAAAUUAUAAAUGGUAUUAUAGGAAGUGAUAAUGUUUUGGACUGGGAGACAAGAAUGAAGAUCGCCAUAGGUUCUGCAAGAGGGUUAGAAUAUUUACAUGAAAAUUGUGAGUAUAUACUACUACAUAUUCUUAUAUGGCAGGAUUUUAGCUUUUGAGUGUAAAUUUAUUUAUUUAUUUUUAUUUAUGUUGAUAAUUUAUUUUCUCUCAAAAUUUUAUAUUCUUUUUUUUAUAUUUUUUUCAGGUAAACCUAAGAUUAUACAUUUAGAUAUUAAACCAGAUAAUAUUCUUCUCGACGAAAAUUUUGAACCUAAGGUGAGUUAAUUUUAUAAUUAAUAAAUAUUUUAUUUAUAUUACUGUUCUCUAACAAAAAAAAUAUCAUUAAAUACCAAAAUUUUAUUUUUAAACAGUAUUGAAAAAUUAUGUGAACUCAUUAAUUAUAUAAUUUGAUUGUUGUAAUUAAUUAAUAAAUUUUGGUUCUAACUUUUUGGUUUGGCCAUAUAUCUUAUAAAAAAAUUAAUAAAUCAAUCUUAGUAGGUUUCUUAUCUUUUUUUUUUCAUGAUUUAAAGUUUUCUUAAUAAACCUUAUUGAAGUAGGGAAAAUAGUGUAAUUUAUCAAAUUAAAAAAGUAAUAAACUUAUUAAUCUUCUCAAAUCAUUUGUUUAGAUAACAGAUUUUGGACUUGCUCAAUUUUUUACGGACGGUGCUACUCACAUAUCCAAAUCGUCAGUUAUGGGAACCCAUGUGUAAGAUAUAAAUUUCUUUUUUAUCAUUUAAUUGCAUCGCUAUUAUUGUUUAACUCUUUCGUUGCCAUUAUUAUCUACUCUUAGACUAGUUUAAAAAUAAAAUAAAAUUUAAAACAGACCAAAAAAAACCCACGAAAAGAAAUUAGGACUUGAAGAUCUUAGUUCGUUAAAGAAAAUUUUAACAUGAUUUUUUUUAGAAAUUUAUAAUUUAGUACCUCAAUAUUGCAAUUAUUAACAAGUCAGUUCUCGUAUUUUCAGAAAUCUAUUAAAAUGUCUUUAUUUCUGCUGUUAAAAAUAUAUCAAAAAACCAAAUUAUCUCCCUUCUUUUCCUCUUCCUUCUUCUUCAUUAAUUCUUCCUCCUCUUCUUCUUCUUUGGUUCUUCUAUUUCUUCUUCUUCGAUUUUUUUUUAUUCUUAUUCUUUAAAGAGGAGGAGACGAUUCUUCUUCUUCUUCUUCUUCUUCAUCAUCAUCAUCUUCUUCUCCUUCUUUUUCUUCUUCUUCUUCUUCUUCUUCUUUUUCUUCUUCUUUUUCUUCUCCUUCAUCAUCAUCUUCUUCUUUUUUUAUUCUUCUUUGAGGAGGAGGAGGAGGAGGAGGGACUAUUUUAUUGACGGAAAGAAACGAUAAAGACGUUUUAAUGGAUAUGAGAAAAGAUAAGAACGUUUUAAUAGAUUUCUAAAAAUAUAGGGACUAACUUGUUAAUAAUAACAAUAUCCAAGAACUAAAUAAGGGGUUUUAUUUGAAAGCAAAAUUGUAUUUUAAAAGUUUUUUCUCUCAUUCUUUAUCUAUUUUUAAUGGAAAAGAGGACGGAAUGACUAUUUCGUUGACGGAAGAACUAUUUCGUUAACAGAGAAAAAAGAUAAAGAAGUUUUAAUAGGUUUCUAAAAAUACAGAGAUUGACUUAUUAAUAAUAACAAUACUCAAAGACUAAAUAAUAAAUCUCUCUUUUUUUUUGGUAAGUACCUUAAUAUGAAAUUUAAUUGUGAUGAUUUUACUGCAGUUAUGAAGAUCCAUUUACAACAAAAAUGGGAAAAUACUCAGACAAAUCUGAUAUUUAUUCUUUUGGUGUUACACUUUUAGAGUUGAUCACCGGAAGAAAACCCAUAUAUAAUGGAAUUGACAUUAUUACUUGGGUAUGACUCUAUUUGCAUUAAAGAUUUUAUUUUAAACAUUCAAUUGAAAAAAAAAUAAAACUUUUGAAUUUAGAUAUUCUAUUUAGAUUUGAGUCUAAUGCAUUUAUUAUCCAUUAAUAAAUAAUUUUUUAAACAUUCAAUUGAAAAAAAUAAAACUUUUGAAUUUAGAUAUUCUAUUUAGAUUUGAGUCUAAUGCAUUUAUUAUCCAUUAAUAAAUAAUUUUUUAAUCAAUGUCUUUUAGGCAAAUCCUUUAAUUGAGAACGCCAUAGAUGGAAGAUAUGUGAAUUUGGUAGAUUCCAAAUUACAAUCCUUCGACCAGGAAGAGAUGCAUAGAAUGAUUUCUUGUAUUAAUUCUUGUCUAAAUCAAUUACCAAACUCUCGUCCAACAAUGGAAAAGGUAAAAUUUAUUCAUACAAUUAACUUAAUUUUAAUAUAUUCAAAACUAUAUAUAUAUAUUACACAUUAUAUAUUUUCAAUUAAUUUUAUGAAAGCAUAUAUCUCGAAAGAUUACAUAGUUAACUUGUAAACAGAUACGAUUAGUUCUUGAAGGAAAAUUACCUCCAGAGAAAUUAUACAAACACAAAUUGCAAUGGAGUAUUACACAUGAAGGUACAUAUUCUUUUAUAUUAAUUUAUUAUAAAUUAUAUGUAUAUUUAUUCGAAAGUUUGAUCUAAUUGAUGUCUAAAUUUUGAUUUAAUUUGUGUCUUAUCUUAAUAUCAAGAAACAAAUGUUGAUUUUCAACUGUAAAAAUAUAAUUUUUUUUUUUAAUUUGAAAUUUAUAACAAAUUAGUUUUUAACCAAAUCUAAUAGCAUAUUAAUGAAAUAUAAUUUUAACAAUGAUGAAACAUUUACCUUAAAAUUCAUUCACAUAAUUUAAUUCUGGUACAUUUCAAAAUUCUCUCUAUUUUACGGACUAUUUUCAAUUAAUUUUGUGGAAACAUUGAGAGAAUACGUAAUCGACUAUUAAAUCUGAUUGGCUAUAAUUCCUUUAUUUAAAAAGAGGAAGGAAUGAUAUGAACUUAUUUCACCUUUAAAAAAAAUGUUUCUGCCUCAGAUUUUGCUUUUUUCCGUUAAUAAUUCUCCUUACAGAGCUGCACUAAUUUACCCUUUUUCUUUUUUUUGGCAAGCAGAUGAGCCUAAGCCAAGUCCCAAGCCUCCAAUCAUUCAAGGAACUAAUAAUAAUAGUACACGAAAUAUUCGACUUGCCAGGCGACGUCGACCAACAGAAGCAACUAGCAAUGGUUCCUCCAACAUCAUUCAAGAAACUUCAUUUGAUGAUGAGAUGAUAUAUGAAAAGCCCGUUUUGGACAGAGGAGAAAACUGUUGCAUUUCAUAAAACCUUAAACCUUUCUCUUUCUUAUUUUUUAUAGACCAGGUCCUCCUUAUCAUUUUAAGCCUCUCUUUUUUUUUUUUUUUAAAACCAUAACUUAUUACAUUUCUACACAUUCUCUCUAUUGGAUAUGACCUAACUUUAAAAAAUAGCCUCUUUUACUUAAGUCCAAUAUCAAAUUUGGAGUAUCAACAAUUCUUUUCAUUGAUAAAUCCGUUGGUGGAUAUAAGACGAAGCAACUAAUUUUAAAUUUUAUGACAUACUUGGAUUGGACCUAACUUUUAAUCGACGUCGGAUGGAGACCCACGAUAGCUUUUUAGAAAAGGAAUUUCGAAACGCAUGACUUUUAAAAGUGUGAUUAGGGUAACAGGCCUGGUCACAAAAUUCAAGUGGUCAAUUUUUCAUUUUAAUUAUUUUUUUAAAUAUUUUUAUAAUUUUGCAUAUUAGAAUUUUUUCUAUUAUAAAUAGGUUUUGGCUAUUUGAGACUCACUUGUCACUUUUUUAAGAAUUUCGAUAAGACUUUUCCACUUUUAACCAUUCGUUUUUUUCAUAUCGUCUUAGUCAAACAAUAUUGAUAAAAAUUACAGACGGAGUUCUUUAUCAAAUAGUACCAUUCAUUUUUUAAAAGUCUGGUUGUUAAGAUUUUACCAACAAAUUUCAAAUUUGUUAGCGCUAUGUACUACUGAAUUUAUCAACAUAGAUUUCCAUAUCUUAUCUAAUUUGGGUUGUAGUCUAGAACUUUUCAUGUUGAGUUAUAAUAUGGUGCAUAAAUAAAGUAUACUUAAAAUUCAAGCCAUAUAAAUAACAUAAUUUAUGUUUAAUAUUUAUUAAAAAUAUAAAUAUAUUUAGAAAGAAAGUGUAGAUGAUAAAAUAAAGUAUGAAAAAUUAAAAAAAUGAGAGAAAGUAGAAAUAGUAGAAAAGUAAAUGGUAUAAAAUGAGAGAAAAUUAUUAAAAAGAAAAAGAAAAAGGAGAAAAAACUAAGAAAAUGAUUAAAAAGAAAAAUUAUGGAGAAUAGAAAAGAAUAAAAGAAGAGGGAAAAGAUAAUUAAAGAAGUGAGGGAAAAGGAAAUAAAUGAUUAGAGAAAAAAAAAUGAAUGAAGAGAAAAUAAUAGAAAAGAAAAAGAUAGAUAAAAAAAUAAUAGAAAAAACUAAAAUUAGAGAAAUUAAUAUGAAUAAGAAUUAUAUAAAAAUAAAAAAAUGAGACAUAAAAAAGGAAGAAAAAUAAUGAAAGAAAAGAAAAUGAAAAAAGUUAUAGAAAGAAAAAUUAUAGAGCAAAAUGAAGAAAAUAAGAACAGAUGAAGAGAAUAAGAGAAAAAAAAGGAUAAUAGAAGAAUGAGAAAUGAUAAAAAAAUAAUAAUAAUAAGAGAAAAAAGAUUAUGAGAUUAGAAAGUUAAAAUAAAAGAAAAUAAUAAAAAAUGAAAAAAAUGAAAAAAAAAAGGAAAAUGAAAAAAUAAAAAAUAAUAUAUGGAUGGAUGACAAAAGGAAAAGGAGAAGUGUUAAUAUUUAUAAAUCAAAUUAUUAAUGGAUUAUAAAUAUUUUAAAGAAAAUGUGUUUUUGAAGAGAAAGAAGGAGAAGCAUGCCUUUUUCCUUUUAUUCAAGAUGUAAUGAGUUUUUACAAGAGUAAGAUAAUCCCGAAACUUAGUUUUAGAGGAGCUUAUAUACUCCUCACGUGGAGCGUAACAGGUGCUCAGAUUGUAAAAGGACAAUUAUGCCCAUAAGACAGCAAAGAAUAAAACAAAACAAUAUAUAUCAACUAAACUAUGAUUAUCUUGCAUUCUCUUCACGCCUCCUGCAAGUUGGAACUGGGAUGGAGACCAGGGGCAACUUGGAACAAAGGUGGUGAUGCUGAUCAGAAGAUAAAGGCUUGGUGAGCAAGUCUGCAAGUUGAGCAGUGGUGGAAACAUGCGAAGGGUGAAUGAAGCCCCGCUGAAGCUGCUCACGGACAAUGUGGCAGUCAAUCGAAAUGUGUUUUGUACGUUCAUGAAACACCGGGUUAGCAGCGAUAUGCAAGGCAGCCUGAUUGUCACAGUGGAGAGGGAUUGGCAGCUGAGUAGGCACCUGCAAGUCUUGAAGAAUAUAAGAAAUCCACAAUAAUUCACAAAUAGUACUUGCCAUAGCACGAUAUUCCGCCUCAGCGAAUGAUUUUGAGACAGUGGGUUGUUUCUUGGUUUUCCAAGAAACCAAUGAGGAUCCAAAAAAAAUGCAGAAUCCAGUGAGAGAUUUGCGCGAAAAGGGGCAGGAGGCCCAAUCAGAAUCACAGUAAGCUGUGAGAGGCAUGGUGGCAGUAACAGGAAAGCAUAGCCCUUGAUGUAUAGUGCCUUUCAAGUAGCGAAGGACAUGCAUGGCAGCCUCCCAAUGAGGCUUGCGGGGUUGAUGCAUGAACUGGCUCAGAUGUUGGACAGCAUAACUGAGGUCAGGCCGUGUAAGAUUAACAUAUAGCAACCUCCCAAUUAGACGUCUGUAAGCAUGGGGUUCAGGAAGAAUAUCUCCUGUGUCCAGAGAGAGAUGCAGCCCUUUAGGCAAGGGAAAGGAGGCUGGUUUGCAUGAGUGCAUACCAGCAUCCCUCAAAAUGUCAGAAAUAUACUUGGUUUGGCUUAAAAGAGUAGCAGUAGAUGAUCUGGCCACUUCUAGGCCAAGAAAGUAUUUCAGAAACCCCAAGUCUUUAAUGGUGAACUUGGAAUGUAAAGCAUUUUUAACCUCAGUCAUAGCAACAGUAGAGGUACCAGUAAGAAGAAUGUCAUCCACAUAUAUUAACAAGGCCAAAAAAUAGUCAGUAGUGCAUUUAACAAACAGGCAGUAGUCAUGGGCAGAUUGGGUGAAACCUAGUGUCUGUAAAAAACUUGUAAACUCAAGAUUCUAUUGCCGAGAAGCCUGUUUAAGUCCAUAUAAGGACUUCUGGAGGAGGCAGACUUGCCCGGGCAGAGCUUUAUCAUAACCCUGUGGUGGAAGCAUAUAGACUUCCUCAUCUAAGGUGCCAUGUAAGAAAGCAUUGUUUAUGUCAAGUUGAAACACAGGCCAUUGUUUAUGAGUAGCAAGGGCUAUGAGAAUACGAACUGUAGCCAAUUUGGCAACAGGAGAAAACCGAUCUUUAUAAUCAAGACCUUCAAUUUGAUUGUAACCCUUGGCGACCAACCGGGCUUUGAAUCUAUCAAUGUCACCAUUUGGUUUACAUUUGACCUUAUAGACCCAUUUACAACCUAUGGCUUUCUUGCCUUUAGGAAGGGUUGUAAGGAUCCAGGUGUUAUUCUGUUCGAGGGCAUGCAAUUCAUGUUGCAUUGCAUUAACCCAAUCAGUAUUUUGCGAUGCCUGAAUGUAGGUGGCAGGUUCUGGAAUGUGAGAAAUGUUCAGGACAUAUGUUUGAUAUGAAGGUGAAAGGUGAAUGGUGGAAAUGGGAGGAUGGACAGUGGUGAUUGCCGUGGCAACAAAGUCAUCCAGCCACGCUGGUGGUUUAAUGGCUCUGGAAGACCUUCGGAGGCCAGAGAGAUCAGGAGAAGGCUGAGAAGGUGAGGAUAUAGAUGUGAUAGGCUCUGAAUCAGGUAUGGGAAUAGGCAGCACCACAGGGGGUUGCAGAGAUUGUGUGCUAAAGGGAAAAAUGUGUUCAUAGAACACAACAUCACGGCUAACAAAGAUAGCACCAGUAGCUAGAUCAUAGAGUUUGUAAGCUUUGUGAUUACUGGCAUAACUAAUAAAGGCUGCCUUAAUGGACUUGGUACCAAAUUUGUCUUUGUGAGUGUUUGUUUUGGUGGCAAAACAAAGGCAUCCAAAUUUUUUUAGAUGGAAAUAAUCAGGGGCUUUCCCAUAGAGACGCUCAUAAGGGCUCUGCCAACCAAAUUGGGCCAUAGGAAGUCUGUUUAUUAGAUAGGUGGCAGUAAGGACACAUUCAGACCAAAAAGUGUGUGGGACAUGAGAGUGUAUUUUGAGAGCUCUAGCCAUGUCUAAAAGAUGUCUGUGCUUUCUCUCAACCACUCCAUUUUGUUGAGGAGUGUGAGGACAAGAUCUUUGAUGUAUUAUGCCCUUUUGAUUUAAUAGUCUAGAGCAAUCAUUACUAAGAAAUUCACAUCCGUUAUUUGUCCUUAUUGUCUUGACAGAGGCAUUGAAGUGAGUUUGCACCAUAUUCAGAAAUGUAGAUAAGAUAUGAACAGUUUGACUUUUAAGGCGCAUUAAGAAGGUCCAGGUGGCCCUGGUAUUGUCAUCAACUAAAGUGAGAAAGUAUUUUGCUCCUGUGACACUUUCUAUGUUAUAAGGGCCCCAAAUAUCUAUGUGGAGGAGAUCAAAAGGUUCCUUAGCAACAGUGGUACUAAGGGAAAAGGGUAACCUGGCCUGCUUGGCUUGGGAACAGGUUUGGCACUGUAAAGGAGUACCCUUAGUGUGUUUAAGCACAUCAAUAUGUUUGAGUUUCCCAAGGGAUGCAUGCCCUAGUCUAUCAUGCCAAUCAACAAUAUUACUAGCAUACAUACAAGAUUCAGUUCGAGAAGAUUGGCUUUCUUUAUUUAUAGAAUGUGUAGAAAGCAUGGUAUUUANNNNNNNNNNNNNNNNNNNNNNNNNNNNNNNNNNNNNNNNNNNNNNNNNNNNNNNNNNNNNNNNNNNNNNNNNNNNNNNNNNNNNNNNNNNNNNNNNNNNNNNNNNNNNNNNNNNNNNNNNNNNNNNNNNNNNNNNNNNNNNNNNNNNNNNNNNNNNNNNNNNNNNNNNNNNNNNNNNNNNNNNNNNNNNNNNNNNNNNNNNNNNNNNNNNNNNNNNNNNNNNNNNNNNNNNNNNNNNNNNNNNNNNNNNNNNNNNNNNNNNNNNNNNNNNNNNNNNNNNNNNNNNNNNNNNNNNNNNNNNNNNNNNNNNNNNNNNNNNNNNNNNNNNNNNNNNNNNNNNNNNNNNNNNNNNNNNNNNNNNNNNNNNNNNNNNNNNNNNNNNNNNNNNNNNNNNNNNNNNNNNNNNNNNNNNNNNNNNNNNNNNNNNNNNNNNNNNNNNNNNNNNNNNNNNNNNNNNNNNNNNNNNNNNNNNNNNNNNNNNNNNNNNNNNNNNNNNNNNNNNNNNNNNNNNNNNNNNNNNNNNNNNNNNNNNNNNNNNNNNNNNNNNNNNNNNNNNNNNNNNNNNNNNNNNNNNNNNNNNNNNNNNNNNNNNNNNNNNNNNNNNNNNNNNNNNNNNNNNNNNNNNNNNNNNNNNNNNNNNNNNNNNNNNNNNNNNNNNNNNNNNNNNNNNNNNNNNNNNNNNNNNNNNNNNNNNNNNNNNNNNNNNNNNNNNNNNNNNNNNNNNNNNNNNNNNNNNNNNNNNNNNNNNNNNNNNNNNNNNNNNNNNNNNNNNNNNNNNNNNNNNNNNNNNNNNNNNNNNNNNNNNNNNNNNNNNNNNNNNNNNNNNNNNNNNNNNNNNNNNNNNNNNNNNNNNNNNNNNNNNNNNNNNNNNNNNNNNNNNNNNNNNNNNNNNNNNNNNNNNNNNNNNNNNNNNNNNNNNNNNNNNNNNNNNNNNNNNNNNNNNNNNNNNNNNNNNNNNNNNNNNNNNNNNNNNNNNNNNNNNNNNNNNNNNNNNNNNNNNNNNNNNNNNNNNNNNNNNNNNNNNNNNNNNNNNNNNNNNNNNNNNNNNNNNNNNNNNNNNNNNNNNNACAGGUGCAUGGAGGAAGGGUCUCCAUUGAUCCCAAUUCAUCCCAAAACCCUUUCAAUUUAGUGAAAUAGACAGAUGCAGAGGCAUUGUCUUGAGAUAUCAAGGAUAUUUUCCUACGCAACUCAUAGAUCAUGGUUCCAUUACACUCACCGAAUCUUUCGGUAAUUUCAAGCCAGAGAUCCCUAGGUGAGGCUGUGUAAAUGAAGCCAUCGACUAACUCUCUGGAUAUAGAAUUUAGAAUCCAGGAUGUGACCAUAAAGUCACAUCGCUUCCAUUGUUCAUAGGAAUCAGAUCCUUUAUCAGGUAUUGUAACGGUGCCUUCUAUAAAUUCCAGUUUCUGUUUGGCUCCUAGGGCUAUCCUAAUGGCUCUACACCAAGACCUAAAAUUUGUCCCUAUCAGAGGAGCAUAUACUAAAACCAUACCUGGAUGGUCCGAAGACUGGAGAGUCAGAGGAUCUCCAAGAUUCUGAGUUCCGAUCUGGAUUUUGUCCUUCGCCUCCGUGAUUUUGCCUUCUUUACUGGUAUUCCCUCGUUCUGCCAUGAUCGACAAGAUUUGUCCGUUUUAGCCACAGAUCGUGGUGUAAGUUUGUAGAUCUGACUGAGUUGAGGCCGUCUUGAAGGAAAACGGAAAGAUUAACGAGAUCUGCUUGUCAUGCAAGCCAGAUUCGGUGUAGGACUGGUGAUGGCGUUCACCUGGAGUGUAAGCCGGCUCUUUUCGGUAAAGGUUGUUUUAAAAAAGGAAUGGCGAGGAUGAACGGAAGAGACAGGGAAAGGUGCAAACCCUAAUCCGCUCUGAUACCAUGAAGAGAAAGAAGGAGAAGCAUGCCUUUAUCCUUUUAUUCAAGAUGUAAUGAGUUUUUACAAGAGUAAAAUAAUCCCGAAACUUAGUUUUAGAGGAGCUUAUAUACUCCUCACGUGGAGCGUAACAGGUGCUCAGAUUGUAAAAGGACAAUUAUGCCCAUAAGACAGCAAAGAAUAAAACAAAACAAUAUAUAUCAACUAAACUAUUAUUAUCUUGCAUUCUCUUCAUUAUCCUUUAAAAAUUAUUAAAAUAUUUAAAAUUUAUUAAUAAAUUUAUUGGUGAAUGAAAAAUAGUAGAUUUUAAAAAAGUAACACUCAAAUUUUAAGUAAGAUUAUAUUUAAAAUUCAUUAAUAAAUUUAUUGAUGAAUGAAAAACAGUACAUUUUAAAAAAGUAAUACUCAAAUUUUAAGAUUUAAUUUUAAAUUUAUUGAAAGAUAAAAAUACCUUUUCUAUUUAUUAAUUUAAUAAUAAGAAUUAUUAAUAAAUUUUAAAAUUUAUUGGUAAUCUAUUUACAAACUAUUAAUAGAUUUAAAUUUUAUUAAUAAUUUUAAUAGUUUGUUCGGAAGUAUCAAUAAAUUACUAACUGAUUAUUAAAUUUCUACCACAAUAAUUUUAUAAAUUUAUAAAAUUAUCAACAAAUUCUAAAAUCCAUUAUUUAAACUUUUACACAAAAAUAUGACGGAACUUAUUAUUGAAUUCCAAUAACUUAUUAGUAUAUUUCUACGCAUUCUCUUUAUUAAAUAAUGACCAAGCUAUUUAAAAAUGACCCUCAUAUUAUUGGCUAAUUAAUAAUUCAACCAUCUUCUGUGACAGCCUGCUGCUGUGUGGAGAUUACUUGCUCAAGUUUUCUUUUUUUAUUCAAUUAAUUUCAGUUUAAAUAAUUGAACUCAAAAAUAUUGUUGACUUUGGAAAAAGGGUUAAUAGUAUUUAAAUUCAAAGACCAUGAUUGCUCAUUGAUGGAGCCACUAGCGUAAGUAUAUGCAUUCAUAUCUCUUAGGUAGAAAACAAGCCAACCUUCUCUAUUGCCUUGAUAAACAAUAAACAACUUGUUAUUGUCAUUUGACUUUUUAUAUUUUAAUUUUUUUUAUAAAUAUAUGUUGCCCAUAUCACAAAAUUAAUUGGUCAAUUAUUGAAUUCGAAUAUCUCUUUAACCCUUAAGUUGGAUUUUAAUAUAAAGUAUAAAGAAAUCUUAAUUAUAUAAUUUACUAAUUGAAUAAUUGAGGUUUUUUCUUGAAAAAAUUGUAAGUUAGAAGUAAAACGCAUUUUAAAAGUCAUUCAUGAAUAUGCACACAAAAAUAUAUCAGUAGUGAGUGCCAUUUUAAAAAUUUAAUAAUUUGAAAAAAAAAAUAAAAAAAAAGGAAAUUAAGAGAGAUAAACGAAGUGGAAAAGCAAAAUUGAUAAACUUCACUUACAUCUUAAUUUUCAUCUAUUUAUAUUAUUUUUAAAUUGAAUUUUCUUUUUGAUUUUCCACUGAAAUAAAAGGAAUUAUAAAGUAUAUACCAAAACCUCAAUCUCAAUGAAGUAAUUAGGUUUAUUAAAAUUAUUUACUUUCUUAAAAGAUGAAAGGGUGGAAAGGAUAAGAAUAGCAUUUUUUAAUUAUAUAGUUAAAUUCAUUAAUCUUGAUUUUUAUAUAAAAAACUUAUUUGAUCACUUGAUUGAUGGAAAGAUAAAUAUUAAAUUACUAUUUUUUUAAAAAAAAACAUAACAUUAUCAAUAAAUAUAUAUAAUAGAUACACAUUUUUAUUAUUAUUCAUAGCUUAUCUAAUUCGUAAGAGUGACACUCAAGUAUUAAAGUCAAUUGUUAUUCUAAAAAAAAGUCAAUUAUUUAGAUGUCACAAUGAAAAUAUGACUAUUAUUUUUUGUUUAGAAUAGGAAACAACUCAAUAACAAUUAAAUUUAUAUCCAUUACACAAAAUGUCAUUGACUGGAGCUGGAGGCCACAUGCUGCACAUUCUACGUUCAACGUCAACGUUAUAAUUCUUUUUUUAAGAAAAACGAAGGUCUGAACGCUAAUGUUACCAGCUGUCCUUCCUUUAUCUUUCCUACAUCUCCUUCUCUAUCUCUGAUCUUUCACAUUCACACUUUAAUAUAAGAACUGUAUAUAUAUAUACUUGCAAGAAACCAUUGGUUGUGGUUGAAUAAGUCUGCAACUUCUGAUGGCUUCACCGUGGGGAGAUCGCCGGAAUGAAACUAGAGGUAUUAGUCGUUCUAGCUAAAACUGUUUAAUGAGUUCAAAUAGUAAUAUUGUUAUGGAACUUUCAUUUCAUAUAACUUAUUGAAGCAUGUUGUUUAUUGUAUGGUCACUAAGUACAGAUCCGAAUGAAUCUGACUCAUCUCCUGAGAAGAGUCCAAGUAAUGCAUAUGCAUCUGAUAAUUCUAAGGUUAUUGGGCCAAAAUCAUAUUCAUACAGUGAUUUAGCAAAGGCAACUCGUCAUUUUUCGCUGAAUUACCAAAUUGGUCAAGGUGGUUUUGGUCAAGUCUUUAAGACAUCCUUAAACGGUGAGACCUAUGCUAUCAAGAAACUCAAUAAUUUUGUAGAUGAACAGGCCGAAGGAAAGUUGGAGAACGAGAUUGAGGUCGUCAAUAGAGUCAGUCACAAAAAUCUUGUUAAGCUAGUUGGUUACUGCAUUGAUGGAGCCAACAGAUUGCUUAUUUUAGAGUAUUUUUCUAAUGGGUCCUUGAGAUCUAAAUUACAUGGUGAGUCCAAACCUUUAUUUUAUGUUCAUAUAACUAAUUAAUAUAACAUAAUUAAUCUUAUAAAUUACAAAUGGUACUGUAGGAAAGGAAAAUGUUUUGGACUGGAAAAAGAGAAUGAAAAUCGCCAUAGGUUCUGCAAAAGGAUUGCAAUAUUUACAUGAAGAUUGUGAGUAUAUAUUAAUAGCAUAGUAGGCUUUUUUGAGAAUGAAUUUUAUUUUUUUUUCCUUAUUUGUGCUAAUAAUUUAUUUCCUCUGAAAGUUUUGUUCUCCCUUUUUAUAUAUAUGUUUUUUUUUUUUUUUUCAGGUGAACCUAAAAUCAUACAUUUAGAUGUUAAGGCAGAUAAUAUUCUUCUUGAUGAUAACUUUGAAUCUAAGGUAUGAUAUAUAAUUUGAUAAUAAAUAAAAAUUUUAUUCUUAUCAUCAUAUAACUAUAGUGGAACCUUUACCAUUGAAUAUCAAAAUUUUUAUUUUUAAAUAAUAUUGAAAAAUAAUGUGAACCCAUUAAUUUGAUUGCAUAGGUUUCAGAUUUUGGACUUUCCCUAUUUUUUUCGGAUGCUGCUUCUCAUGUCUCAAGAUCAUCAAUUAGAGGAACCCAAAUGUAUGUAAGAUACAAAUUUCUUUCUAUCAUUUAAUAACUGUCUAUUGUUUUCAGUGCCAUCAUGAUAUCUACUCUUAGAGCUCCUUAAUUUAAAGAUAUUAUUUUCUUACAGGAAAUCUUAAUAUGAACAUUAAUUGUGAAGAUAUUAAGUUUAAUUGUAUGAUUGAAUUGCAGCUAUGCAGAUCCAUUGACAACACAAUUGGGAAAACACUCUGAUAAAUCUGAUGUUUAUUCUUUUGGUGUUACACUUUUGGAGUUGAUUAGUGGGAGAAAACCCAUAAAUCAAAACGGCGUCAAUAUUAUUACUUGGGUAUGAAUCUAUUAAAUUGUAACAAUUUAAUAUAAAAUUGUGUUUUUAGCUUUUGAUAUAAGAAUUGAUCUUUAAAAGAAUGGAUUCAACAAAUCACAAUUGGAUGUAUGGAGAUAAAAUAAUGAAACUUUCUUUCUAGCAACAUUUAAAAAAAACAAAGAAGACAAAAACAUAUGCUAUAUGUUAAAUAUAAAUUUACAGGCAACAUGUAUUUAUAUCCAUUAAUAAAUAAUUUUUAAUGGAUUUUUUGCAGGCAAACUCUUUAAUUGAAAAAGUUUUGAAAGGUGAAUAUGCGGAUUUUGUAGAUUCCAGGUUACAAUCCUUUGACCAUGAAGAAAUGCAUCGAAUUAUUUUUUGUGUUAAUGCUUGCAUAAAUCUACCUCCAAAAUUCCGUCCAUCAAUGAAAAGGGUAAAUUCUGUUUAUAUAAUUUAAUUUUGGUAUAUAUAUAAUACACGUUAUUUGCAAUAAAUUUUAUGGAAGCAUUUAGAGAUUACAAGUGUUGACUUGUAAAUCUUUUUAUCAUUGCUGUGCCAUGUAGGUAGUUCUAGCCCUUGAAGGAAUUCUGCCUCUAAAGAAUGACAACAAAUUGUACUCCAGAGCUUCAUAUGAAGGUCUGUUUUCUUGUAAAAAAUGGAAUAACUUUUGUAAGGUGUUAUUAAUUUUUUAGGAGACUUAUUAUUUAGUCUAUCAAAUAUAGUAAAAUUCGUUAGUUAGUCUCUUAAUUUUGAAAAACAUAUUAAAACGUUCAUAAGAUAAAAAAUCUACUAAUUAAUUUCUCCGUUAAUUUUAGUCAUUAAGCGUUAAAAAAAUCUAAAAUUAAGAACUAAUUAGUUUAAUUUUUAUAAAAUUAAGAGAUCAAUUAAAAAAUUUUAUUUAUAUUAUAGAAACUAAAUAGUAAAAACACUUAACGUCUAAAGUUAACAUAUAACUGAUUAGUGGUUUUUUUAAUAUUUCAGGGAUAUUUUAAUGAGUUCUUUAAAUUAGUGGAUUAACUAGUCAAUUUUAUUAAAUCUGAGGGACUAAAUAAUUAUUUUCUUUCUCUGUAUAUAUAAAUUAUAACUUGAUGAUAAAGUGAGAUCAUUUUAAUGUUAAAAAACCCUUAAUAUUAGAACAGAUUUUGAUUUUUAUUUAAAUCUGAUUGGCAUAUAAUUCCUUUAUUUAAAAGGAGAUGGAAUGAUAUGAACUUAAUUCAUUUUUUAAAAAAAUAAAAAGUAUCCACCUCAGUUCAUGUAUUUAAUAAUUUCUCCUUGUUGAGUUACACUAAUUUACCCUUCUUUUUCCGGAAGCAGAUGAGCCUAAGCCAAGCCCCAAGCCUCCGAUCAUUCCAGAAACUAAUAGAUCAUCAAAUGAAGUUUACAAACCAAGGAGAUUUACUUAUAAACAACUAAGUUCUGCAACUAAAGAUUUCUCCGAAAGCAACCUUCUUUACAGGGGUAUUAUGGGUGAAGUAUAUAUGGCAUCCCUAAAUGAUGUCGGACAAGUGAUAAUCAAGAAAUUUCAUCUCGAAAAAGAAGAUGAAUUCAAGAAGAUUAAAGGCAUCAGCAGUAGUGUUCAUCACGAAAAUCUUGUUAACCUGGUUGGAUACUGCAAUGAAAGAGAUAAUAAUCUGCUUGUUUAUGAGUGUUUUAGGUUUCGAUCCUCUUUAAGAUUUCGUUUACUCGGUAUGCUCUUUAUAAUUAAAUAACUUGCAAAUUCUACAUUUAUCAAAAACCUUAUUUUAUUAUUUUUUGGCCGGAUUUUUAACUAGAUGCGUAUAUAAUACAGGGACAAAAAUAAUGAGUACAUCAAUAAUGGAAUGGCCAACCAUCAAGGGCAUAGCUUUAAGCAUCGCAAAAGGAUUAGUACAUCUCCACGAAUUAUGUGAGUCUUAAACUGAACCAUUAUUUGUUUCUAGUUUUUUUUUUUUUUUUACAUUUUAUUUAUGAUGUCUGUAUUUCCAGAUAAACCUUUGAAUACCUACGAGCAUUACCUGGAUGAUUGCGUAUUUCUUGAUGAUAAUCUUGAACCAAAGGUAGUUAUGAUAAAUUUAAAUAUUUUCAAUGAUCAAUUAUUGAUAUAAAUCUUGGAGAUUAUAUUCUGUGUGUGAUCAAUUAUAUGUAAAAUUAUCAUUCAACAUGUAAUUAUAUCUUUUUUGUUGUAAUUAAAAAUACACUUCUUGUUUCUGUUCAAAAAAAAAAUACACAUCUUGGUUAACUUAGCAAAAAAUAAAAAGAAAGAAAGAAAGAAAGAAAAGCACACACUUUUUUUAAAAUAACAAACCAAAGGUAAAUUUUAUAAAUAUUAAUAUUUAAUUUAUAUGUGUAAUUAGUAAUAGAAAUAAUAAUUAAAAAAAUCAAUAUAGUUGAGUUUCAAGUUGAAUAUAUAUGGCCAUUAUUGGAUUGUGAAACUAUUGAAGUUUACUAAUUGUGUUUGAUGUUGAUCUAUAUGGUGCAAUAAAUUUAUUUGGUUCUUUUUUUUAUCAGUUUGCUGAGUAUGGACGUACCAAUUUUUUCUUAAAAGAUUCUGAAAUGCUUCUUUCUAGCAGGUAAAAAUGAUUAUUAUAUUUUGUUUCUUGAUUAGAUUAUUUGCAACUACAUGACUUAUAUUUGAUAUGUUAGGAAUUUUUUUUUGGCAUUUAAGGAAGAAAAACAUCUUAGCAUUCUUAUACUUUUAGUGAAGAUUUGUCGACAAUUAUUCUUAUAUUUUCUUUUAUCUUCUAUUGCAGUUCAACGACUUCUACAUAUCUUAAGUUUGAUGUGUAUUUUUUGGGUAUAAUUCUUCUGAAGCUUAUUACUGGGAAACAACAACAUAAUGACAUCAGUUCUAUUAAUGACUAUAACUUGAUCGAAUUGGUAUGUAUUUCUUCCCAUAGUCUAAAAUGCAAGUAGCAAAAUUCAAAAUAGAUCAAAUAAUUCAUUGUUGAUAUUAGCCAUAGUCUAAAAUGCAAGUAGCAAAAUUCAGAAUAGAUAAAAUAAUUCAUUGUUGAUAUUAGCAAUGAGGAUUUAGUGACAUGCUAACUCCAUUGCUGAAGUUAAUUUUAACUAGCAAUAUAUAAUUGUCAAAUUAAAAUAGUCACUGAAAAGCUUGUCAACAAUUUAAAAAUGGAUUAGCAAUGGAAUCGAUUGUGAAUCUACAUUAUUAGCGACAGAUCUAUCAAUCCAUCACUUGAAGUCUAUUUUUUAUUAUUUUGUAUUGUAUGUAUAUAUACAUUCUUUUAUAUGUCAAUGAUUUUUUUAAUGUAUUAAUUAUAAUUCAGAUGGCGAUUCACCUAAAAAAUAAUUGGCCCAAAAGUGACUAUAGUUUUGUCGAUCCAAGAAUUGAGAGUUAUGACAAACAUGAAAUGGAUCAAAUGAUUGAAUGUGCUAUAGCAUGUGUAAAUCCUUGUCCACAAUAUCGACCUCAAAUGAGUCAGGUAUGUAAUAAUUCUUUUAAAAAGGAUUGUAGAAAUGUGUAUAUGAAUAAAUAUUUACAAUUAAAACUAAAAAUCAGAAUUAAUUGAACUCAUUUCAGCCUAUUUAAUUUAACUGUUAGAAUAUAUUUAAUAGCAGAUAAUUUUUUGUAAUGAGUAGCUAACAAAUAAGUCGAGUUGAUAUAUCUUAGAUGUUUUAUAAAUUAUGUCUAAUUCAUAUGAUUAAUAUGUCACAUGAGUAAUUGGCAAAUAUCAAUUUAUUAUACUAUUGAAAUAAAUAUAAAAUUAUUAAUUUAUUAUACAAUAUAUAUAGUAAUUAAAAGCAUAAUUUUUCAAAAUAUAAUUGUUUUCAUGCAUAUACAUAAUUUUUUGUUCUAUAAUAAUUAAUAUUAUAAAUAUUUUAAUUGUUAUUUAUAAUAUUUUUAAUUUAUUUAUUAUCUCUUAUAAUUUUAAGUAAUUUAUUGAUAUAAAAAUUUAAUUUAAAAAUUAUUAUUAAGAAAAUUUUAAAAGAUAAUAUAUUCUAAAUAAAAAAUAAAAUUAAAAUAACUAUUAAGUAGUAAAAAACAAUUCUAAUAUUCGAGCUUAUGUGAACUACAACUAAUAAGUCUCAUAUAAACUACUAAUUGGUUUUUAAACAUUUAAAAAAUAUAUUAAUUAUAGUUAUAGCCAUUGCUGUAAACAAAUUCUGAACUAUGACUCAUCUUUAUUUAUUCCAUUUCUUAUGAAAAGCAGGUGGUCGAAGUUCUAGCAGGAAAUAUUCCUGCGAGAAAUCUCGAGAAGAAUUUUUUCUUUUUUCAUGAAAAAAAAGAAUGAAAGAUUUUUGGAUUCUGGGGAUGAAGUAUAUAUGUAUAUCUGCAGCAAAGCUAAAGAGUGUAAUAGUUAUCUUUUAUCAGAUAAUUUCAGAUUGGCAACUCAGUAUCAAAUUGAGAAAAUAAAAAUUAUUCCAUUAAUUGUAAGCAUAAAUAACUUUGUAUAAUUUUUUUUUUUUUUUCUAAGCAUACUUUGUAUCAAUUUACUAUUUAAAUAAAAAGUAAUAUUUCAUAUAUAUUGUUAAUUCUAUUAAUUAUAAUAAAACCUUAAUGACUUAAAUAAACCUCUUGUUAGUAUCUAAAUUAAGGAAUGAAUGAAAAUCAUCACCAUAUGAUGAAUUAGAUUCCACCUUGCUUAAAUUCAAAGGCCAUGAUUGUUCAUUGAUAGAGUCAAUAGCGUAAGUGUAUUCAUUCAUAUUUUUAAGUGGAAAUCAAGCUAACCUUCUCGAUUGCCUUAAUAAACAAUAAACAACUUCUUACUUUUAUAAGAUUUUUAUAUUUUAAAUUUUUUUUAUUUUUAUAAUUUUAUGUUGCCCACAAUACAAAAUUAAUUAGUCAAUUAUUGAAUUCGAAUAUAUCUGUAUUCUAACCCUUGAGUUGGACUUUAAUAUAAAGUAUAGAGAUAUUAAUUAUAUUAAUAAUAAAAUAUUAAUAAUAUCUCCAUCAUUGAGGUGUUUUUCUUAAAAAAAAAUGUUAGGUGUAAAAUCCAUCAGAUGAAUACACAUUAAAAUGUAUAAAUAUCAAGUGCCUUCAUAAAAAAUUAAUAAUUUGAAAAAGAAAAGAGAAAAAAGAAUAAUUAAGAGAGAUAAAUGAAGUGGAGCAAAAUUGAUAAACUUAAUUUUCAUCUAUUUAUAUUAUUUUUUCCCUGCAAAAUAUCGAGCUGGAGGCCACAUGCUGCGCAUUCUACGCUCAUCGUCAACGUUAAUUUUCUUUUUUUUAAGGAAAAUGAAGGUCUGAAUGGGCACAUCUCCCUCUCCAUCUCUGACCAUUCGCAUUCACACUUAAUAAGCACUGUAUUUUAUAUAUAUAUACUUGCAACAAACCUCUGACUGUGGUUGGGCAAGUUGAUCUGCGACUUCCGAUGGCCUCUCGCUGGGGGAUGAACAGGGCAGAUAGCCAGAGUGAAACUAGAGGUAUUAAUUUUUUUUUAGCUGCAACUGAGUAACGAGUUCAAUAGUAAUAGUUUCAUGGAACUUUCGUUUCAUUAAACUAUUUGAGGCAUGUUGUUUAUUGAUUGUCACUGCGCACAGAUCGGAAUGAAUCUGGCUCAUCUCCUGAGAAGAGUCGAAGUUAUGCAUCUAACAAUUAUAAGGGUAUUGGGCCAAAGUCAUAUUCAUACAGUGAACUAGCAAAGGCAACUGGUCUUUUCUCGCUCAAUAACCAACUUGGUCAAGGUGGUUUUGGUCAAGUUUUUAAGGCAAUCUUAGAUGGUAAGAUCCGUGCUAUCAAGAAACUUAAUAAUUUUCCAGAUAUACAGUCUGAAGGAGAUUUGGAGAGGGAGAUUAUGGUCGUCAAUAGAGUCAGUCACAAAAAUCUUGUUAAGCUGGUUGGUUACUGCAUUGAUGGAGCCAACAGAUUACUGAUAUUGAAGUAUUUUCCCAAUAAGUCCUUGAAAUAUACAUUACAUAGUGAGUCCCAUGCACAUUCUUUCUUUUGCCCAUGUUCAUGUAUAAUUAAUAUUUCGUAAUUAAUCUUACAAAUUACAAAUCAUUUUGUAGGAAAGGAGAAUGUUUUAGAUUGGAAAAAAAGAAUGAAUAUUGCAAUAGGUUCUGCAAGAGGAUUGGAAUAUUUACAUGAACACUGUGAGUAUAUAAUAGAGAACAUAUUUUUGCUUGUUAGGCUUUUAAAUUUUGGGAGUGAGUUUUUAUUAAACCUUGUUUAUUUCUUCUAACAGUUCUGUGUUUUCUUUAUAUUAUUUUCAGGUAAACCUAAAAUUAUACAUUUAGAUAUCAAACCUGAUAAUAUUCUUCUUGAUAAUGAUUUUGAACCUAAGGUAAGAUAGUUUGAUAAUAAAUAUAAAUUUUAUUUAUAUCAUCGUAGAUGUAUGCUGAAAUUUUGAUCAUUUUAUUCCAAAAUUUUAUUUUUGAAAAAUUAUAUCAACCCAUUAAUUUGAUUGUUGUAAUUAAUUAAUAAUGAACCUUAAUAAGGCUUCUUAUCUUCUUUUCAUGCUCUACUACUUUCUUAAUAAACCUUAUUGGAGUACGGAAAAUAGUAUAAUUUUCCAAAUAAAAAAUAUAUAUAUUCGUGAAAUUAAAUGUGAAAAAUAAUUAUACCUUUUAAUUAAUAUUUAUAUUACAUAUGCAUGGCAUAAUAAAUUUACUAAUCUACUUAAAUCAUUUGUUUAGGUUUCAGAUUUUGGACUUGCCCUAUUCUUUAAGGAUGCUGCUACUCACGUAUCCAGAUCAUCAACUUUGGGAACUCAUAUGUACGUAAAAAAAAACUUUCUUUCUAUUAUUUAAUUACUUCACUAUUAUUGCCUUUUUUUUUCAAUGUCGUCGUUAUCUAAUCUUAAAAUAAUUUAAAAAAUUAAAUUAAAUUAAAAAAAAAAAAGAAAAAGUAAAAAAAGAAAUUAGGCUCUUAAUUUGAAGAUAUUAGUUUUUUAAAGAAAAUCUUAACACAAAUUUUAAUUGUAAUUGUAAUGAUUUAUUAACACAAAUUUUAAUUGUAAUUGUAAUGAUUUAAUUACAGUUAUGCAGACCCAUUAUCAACGAAAUUGGAAAAAUAUUCUGAUAAAUCCGAUGUUUAUUCUUUUGGUGUUACGUUGUUGGAGCUUAUUACUGGACAAAAUUCUAUUAUUGAUGCAAGCACCGACAUCGUUACUUGGGUAUGACUCUUUAUUAUUAAUAGUUUAAUAUAAAAAUUACAAUAUAAAAAUUGUGAUAUAAAAAUCAAUCUAAAAGAAGAAUUGAAUUCAAAUCUCAGUUGGAUGUAUUUAAUAAUGAAUCAUUCUCUAUAGCCACAUGAAAAAAAUAGAAAAGGACAACCCAUAUGCUAUAAGUUAAAUACAAAUGUACAUGCAACAUACAUUUAUGAUCCAUUAAUAAAUAACUCAUUAAUGAUAUUGUAGGCAAAACCUCUAAUACAAAAGGCUUUGGAGGGAGAAUAUGCAGAUUUUGUAGAUUCAAGAUUGCAAUCUUUUGACCACGAACAAAUGCAUAGAAUGAUUUUUUGUGCUAAUGCUUGCAUAAAUCAACCGCUAAAAUAUCGUCCAUCAAUGAAAAUGGUAAAAUUUAUUUUUAUAAUUUAAUUUUGAUAUAUUUCAAAACUUUGUCUAUAUAUAUAUAUAUAUAUAUAUAUAUAUAGAUUACAUAAUAUAUUCAAUUGAGUUUGCAGAAGCGUUGAGAGAUCACAUUGUUGACUUAUAAAUCUUUUUAUCAUUGAUAUGCCAUGUAGAUACUUUUAGCUCUUGAAGAAAUUUUGCCUCUAGGAAAUCUGUGCGAUGAGAAGAACAACAACAAAUUGCAAUUGAAAGCUACUUACAAAGGUAAAUUUCUUAUAAAAAAUAAAAAAUAUCUAUUUCGAAAUGUUAUUCAUUUUUUUUAUGGAUAAAAUAUAACUUAAUGAUAAAGUGGAAUCAUCUUAAUGUUAAAAAACUGAACAAAUUUUAAUUUAUUUAAAUGACAUAUAAUCCUUUAUUUAAAAGGAGGAAGGGAUGACAUGAACUGAACUAAUUCACCUUUUUGUAAAAAAAAAGUAUCCACCUCUGUUCAUGUACUUGAUCCUUUUUUCCUUUAAUAAUUUAUCCUUAUAGAGCUGCACUAGUUUACCAUUUUGUUUUCUGAAGCAGAUGAGCUUAAGCCAAGCCUCAAGCCUCCUAUCAAUCAAGAAACUAAUAAGCCAAGCUCCAAGCCUCCUGUCAUUCAAGAAACUAAUCAAAUCGUUGUACGGAAGGGUCGAAGCACCAGUCGGCAGCCAAGAGAAGCAACUAGUAAUAGUUCCUCCAACAGCAUUCGAGAAACUUCAUUUGAUGAGAGAAACCAAGUUUACAAACCAAGGAGAUUUACUUAUCAUCAACUAAGAUCUGCGACUCAAGGUUUCGCUGAAAACAACCUUCUCAACGGGGGUCUUUUGGGUGAAGUUUAUAAGGGUAUCCUAAAUUAUGAUGAAUGGGUGAUGGUAAAGAAAUUCUAUAUAUACAUGCAUGGAGGGAAAGAAGAUGAAUUCAAGAAGAUUAAAGACAUCAGCACCAGUGUCCACAAUAAACAUCUUGUUAACCUAAUUGGAUACUGUGAUGAAGGAGACAAUAGAUUGCUCGUUUACGAGUAUUUUCCAGAUAAGUCCUCCUUGAGAUCUCAUUUAGAAGGUAUGCACUUUUAUCUUAAGCAACUCUUGUCUAUAUUUUAUUUUUUUAUAAUAUUUACUUCUAAACCAAUCAGAUAUUUAUUUUCCCAACAGAUAAUAUGGCAGGGAAAUACCGUUUGGAUUGGCCAACCAGAAUGGCGAUCGCUUUACGCAUCGCAUUAGGAUUGGUACAUCUGCAUGAUCGAUGUGAGUCUUCCCUUGUAUGCUUAGGCCUUGGCUAUAUCAAAGCAUGAUUUUCCCAGAUAUUUCUCACUUAAUGUUUGUGAUCUCUAUAUUUUUCAGACAAGCCCUGGAAUAUAUACGAGCAUUAUAAGGAUAAUAGCAUCUUUCUUGAUGAAAUUCUUCAACCAAAGGUGAUUAUAUAUAUGGCAGAUUUAAACAUUUUCGAAUGAUCAAUUAGUGGUAAUAUUUCUCAUAUUGGACAUUGAUGAUCUGAGAUCCAGAAAAUAGGGUUUUUUACAAUGGGUUUGUGAAUCUUAGCUAAGAAGAAAAUCCCCCAAGGAGAGAAUGUUUCUUCUAUUUAUCUGUUUCCAUUGCCUAUCCGUGACGUGUAACGGCCCAACUUCCAUUGGGCCACCUGUCUCUGCCAUACUGAUACGAUCGUACAAGGAUAUCAGAUUCCUGCCCCAUGCAUAACAGCCUCUGAUUUCCUCUGGGCGCGCAUAUGGAUGGACCCACAAGACAGACGGGUCGAUCCACUUCCUGAUUCUGAGUUGGAUCCGAAGAUUGGAUUAAAACUGAGCCCAAGCCGGAUCUGUCUAAUGGGCCGUGGGGAUUGGGUCGACCUGUUUGAGGAAGAUAGCUGGAUCUCGGUCUUAAAGCUGAGUGGACCGGACCUGGUUCAUGUGGGAGACUUGAAGGCCUCCAGAUAAUGGGCUGUUGUCAUGGGUCCGGCCCCAAACCGUGAUGGCGAAAACCAGCGGUCAUCAAUUGCCCCUUUACCUCCUCGUCAAUUAUUGCCCGACUGAAGAGGGAGUAAAUACCGAGAGUCAUCAUGACCGCGCCACCCAAGGACAAAACUAUUCAAAACAUCUUUUCGGCUCUUUAUUGUUUCAAAUUUCAUUUCCCGUCAAUCUCCCCAGAACGUUGGCUCUUCUCUGUUCUACUGCUCUCUUUGCUUUCCUCUGCUCAUUUGCCCUAAUCACUUUUCAGGUACGCCUCUUCUUUUACUAUGGAUAGUUCUAGUCUCCCCGAUGUCGUCGACCAGGAGUCUAGCAUCACCCAGUCUAACAUUAGGAGUUUCAUCUCUAGGAAAUACCUGGAUACCCCUCUUUAUCACAUCCGGGCUCCUUACCCGAAUGAGAGAAUCGUUCUUCCUAAUCCUUCUCCCCCUGGCCUAAUCGACCCUCAAAGGGACGUCAGUCUAGUUUUCUUUAUCAAACAGAGGGAGUACGGUCUGUCCUUUCCCUUUUCUCCUUUCUUCAAAAAGGUCUUCCAGUAUUUCGUGAUCACCCCUCGAAUGCUAACCCCUAACUUCGUUCUUUUCAUGUCUUGCUUUGAAUCUGUGUGUUUGAGCUGGGGGUUUACACCCACGGUUCACCUGUUCGUCAGCUUCUUCAGGCUAGUCAAAGUGAGCCAGAAAUUUUAUUACUUUGCCCCUCGCGGAGGGUUGUCCAUUUUCACGGGUUAUAAAGACUCCAUCAAGGGCUGGGUAGAGGGGUUUCUGGUGGUGGAGUUGAAGAAGAAUACGGGGUUGGCUUGGGAGCUCGAUCUUGCCUGGGAGGAUGUCUCUCUAGGUUGCAACGACCUGCCCCAGUUGGACCUUACUGAGCAGGUCGGAUUCCUUCGACUGACUUCUGUGGAUAGGAAGUAUGCCAUCGAAAAGUGCUUGUUCGCAUCCAACCUUAGGGAUAUUAAGGACGCGGGUAUCUUAUUCUAUCUGCCUGUGUUAGUUUUUGCUUACGCGAUCUUUGGUGAGAACUGUUCUGAUUUGCUUUGAUUUUUAAUUUUGUAGCCUCUGAGGUGAAAAUGGAUCGGAUUAAGCCUCCCAAGAAUCUCAUACUGUCCCGGGAGAGCAUGGACACUGCUCUGGAUGCCCUCCUGGCUGGGCAAUCCAUAAGGGAGGCUACUCAAAGGGUGGCCGAGGUUAUUUCUUCCAGAUCGGGUACCCGACCUCCUCCUCCUUCGGUCUCCUCACAAGCUCCUAGGCCAAACUCCCGACGUAGUAAGUCGUCUCGGCCCUCUAGUCGCAGCAAACCGAACUCGACUCACCAGUCCUUUCAAGCCCCCCGACCUCAACACUCUUCUACUGAGAGGGCAGAAGAGACUCCAAGAAUUAUUUCUGAAGUGGCUGAGAAAGCCAGGCUGACGAGGACGGAUCCCGCCCUUCCUCCUGUGGACGCUUCUGAUGUGGGGCUUGAAGUUCCCGCUGUUAUUGAGGAGGAGGUCUCCAAGGUGGGGUUCGAGGCCCCCAUUACUGAAGAGGAAGCUCCAGGGAAAAGUAAGGAGGUUAUUCUUAUAGACGAAGAUGUCCAGGAGGCCCUUACCGGAGAUGUUGGAUCCGGCCCUGCUAAUGACGGAGGAGUCACAGAGAAGGCUGGGGACAAGCGUCCUGCCUCUCCCGAAAUGUCUGCCCCAGCUCCUGCUCGGAAGAAAUCCAGGGUUUCCAAGGGAUCAGCUCCAGCUCUCUCUCCUAUUGGAAAGAGAAAGGAAGCUUCCAAGGGAUUAGCUCCCGCUCUCCCCCCUCUCGAAAAGAAGAAGGAUGUUCUUGUGAUACCCCUGUUGUCUGCUCUUGACAACGACAUUUUGAACGCUGAGAACAUAACUCAUCAAACUCCAGCGAGUGUCGUAACGGAGAUCUUACGGGAGCGAAUGUUCGGGGGAAUCACAGAGGCUUCAGACUCUCGUCUACUUGCUUUGACCGGCCAUUUGGCUGGCUUCACACGGGAGUAGACAGCCUUCCGGUCUCUACCUCGAGGGGAGCUUGGAGAUAGGAUUAGGGAGAUGCUUCUGAUGGUAAGUUGUUCGUUCCAAUUUCUGCUCGUAUUCCAAUUUUCUUUGUUUCUUUGUUCUGACAGCUUUCUCUUUUUGUACUAGGUGAUGGGCCUCUUCAUGGUGGUGGACGCUCGUGACCUCUCUCUCUUAGAAUCUGUUGAUCGUCGGAUCGAGGAGGCGCGUCUGGAGGAGAACCUGUCUGCAACCAGUGAUGCCAGGAGCAACCUUGCGGCAGCUCGAGAGCAUGCUAGGUCCCUAGAGGCGGAGUUGUCUCACGCUCGAAGGGUUCUUAAAGAGUCUAACGAUAGGGCAGCUGCUGUUGAAGUCCGCUGUGAAGAAGUCCUGAAGCAGCUGUCCUCUACGGUAGAUGCCCUUCGUGAAAAGGACGAGGCUUUAAAUCAAAGGGACGAGGCCCAGCGUCAGUAUGAGGCCUUGAAGGCUGAUUUCGAGGGAGUCCGGGCACGUCUUAUCAAGGUGGAAGUCCAGAAGGAGGGGGCACUAGCUCGGGUCGAGGUUCUUGAGCAGGAGUUGAGUAAGAGUUCAGAUCGCAUCAGAGAUUUGGCCUCGGCGGCAGAGGAAUCUAAACUUCUCAAUCAAAAACUCUGUCAUGAGGUCGAGACUAUGGAGCAUAGAUGUUCAGCCCUGCUCAAGGAUGUCAGACUCGUUGAAGACAGGGUCCAGCUAGAGUGUGAGAGGCGUCUGAUGGAGUAUAAAGAGUCUCCCGAGCUGAAAAAAGAGAUCGAUCAGGCCUGUGAAGCGCGCCUCCAGGAUUAUAAAAGUUCUUCUGAAUUUAAAGUCAAGAUAGCUGAGGCCUGUGAGAAGCGACUUGCGGAGUUCCAAGGCUCUGAUGAAAUGAAAACUGCCAUAUGGAAUAGGGGCUUCCGCAUGUUCAUCUCUGGGUAUAAUAGAGGUCUGAGGACAGCCAGAUACGCUCUCUCUACCCCGUUGGCUGAACUCCGAGCUGUAGAGGAAGACUCUGAUGGCGAGGAGGUGCUUUAUGGGGAGGAUGACAGGCCUUUGCCCAAAGGGGCUCCUCGCACUGCAGCUGGGCCUUCUGAGGUAGGCGCCGAGCUGGGAGAUGGAGAUGCUGGGCCUCAAGGGGAAGAGAUUGUGCCUUUUGUGGGUACUGAAGAGUCUAAGCCAGAAGGUGCUGGGCCUCCCAUAGACAGUAAUGUAAAUGUAGAUAGUACAGGGGGUAAUGUAGAUGAUAAUGCCCCCAGACAUGUAAGUCCUUUAAGGACUGUUUUUCCUUCAGUAGAGUAGACUGUAAAGUAGGUUGUAAUUACUUUUAUUUUUAAUGAAAUUUAAUUUUCGAGUUGUGUUGGCGUUUUGAGUUAUUUUGAUUGUUACUUAUUUCUCUAGCUUUAUUUGUACUUGAGUUGUUCUUACCUCGGCUUGUUCUUCCCUCCUCACCGGGCUACUUGUUCUGCUUAAACAGUCUGACUUGUUUAUUUUUAGAGAUUUGAGAAUAGAACACUUAGGCAGUGUCUAACAAAUCUUGUAAGGAAUUGACUACAUUGCCUUCCCUUUCUCGCCCCUCAAUUAAUCAGGGCUGAAAACUUAGCAAGAGACUUAGUCUCUGACUUAUAAUCUUUUUUAAUUUCACAAAGGCGUUCUCAUCUGUAAAUUUUCUCCGAGCUGGAUUUGCCUUAAGGCUAAGAUCUUCAAGCUGUACUUUUUUAUGGAUUUAGGUCUUCACUAUGAGCUUGGUUUUUAACAGCUGACUUAAUAUCGUCAACUUUCUUUCCCUUAUUGUAUAUGUACGAGCUCGGGCGUGUAGCCCUUAUACGACUGAAGUAAAAAGGAUUAUGUACCUCUUUCGAGCAGGGUUGAUCUUCUUCUUUUCAGUUCUGUUUCUUAUCUGCUCACGCCGUUGAACUUCCUUUCAGCUCAUGAGAGGUUUGUUAUCUUCAUUUUAUUCUUUGAGUUUUCUGAGCUUGGUUCUUCUUCGUUGCUUGGUUUUUCGAGUUCGCGCUUCCAGGUCGGCACUUUUGGCCUUUUGUUGUCUUUCUUUUUAAUUUUAGUUUUCGAGUAUGUCUCUGCCGGGCCCUUUGCUGCUUGGGUCUUCUCCUAGACUAGUCGAACUGGUUCAGUGCUAGUCAUCAAGUUUUGAGGUCGGAAUCUUACCAGCCUGUAAUAUGAGUUUGGACGGGUAUUGUGAGAGUGAAACUCUGGUGAUGAAAAGAUCUCCUUCGUUCCCACAGACGGCGCCACUUGAUGAUCUGAGAUCCAGAAAAUAGGGUUUUUUACAAUGGGUCUGUGAAUCUUAGCUAAGAAGAAGUACCCCAAGGUGAGAAUGUUUCUUCUAUUUAUCUGUUUCCAUUGCCUGUCCGUGACGUGUAACGGCCCAGCUUUCAUUGGGCCACCUGUCUCUGCCAUACUGAUACAAUCGUACGAGGAUAUCAGAUUCCUGCCCCAUGCAUAAUGGCCUCUGAUUUCCUCCGGGCGCGCAUGGAGAUGGACCCACAAGACAGACGGGUCGAUCCACUUCCUGAUUCUGAGUUGGAUCCGAAGAUUGGAUUAAAACUGAGCCCAAGCCAGAUCUGUCUAAUGGGCCGUGGGGAUUGGGUCGACCUGUUUGAGGAAGAUAGCUGGAUCUCACUCUUAAAACUGAGCGGACCGGACCUGGUUCAUGUGGGAGACUUGAAGGCCUCCAGAUAAUGGGCUGUUGUCAUGGGUCCGGCCCCAAACCGUGGUGGCAAAAACCAGCGGUCAUCACACAUUAUUAUGUAAAAAAUUUCUUAAGCUUAUUAUUCAAUAUAUGCAACUAUACUUAACUGUAAAUAUAUGGUGCAAUAAAUUUACUUUGAUUAUCAUUUUAAUCAGUUUGCAGAGUAUGAACGUGACAAAUUUUUCUUAAAAGAUUCUGGAAAUUCUAUUACUAGCAGGUAAAGAUGAAACUUUUGUUUAUGUUUCCUCUUCGUCACAUUGCUUGCUCAAGCUUAUAGAUACAUGAUCAAUUCUCCAACUGCAGUUCUAUGUCUUCAAGAUAUGUAAAGCUAGAUGUUUAUUUCUUCGGUGUAAUUCUUUUGGAGAUAAUUACUGGGAAAUUACCUGUUAGUGAUAUUAGUUCCUAUGAUUCCUUCAACUUAAUUGAAUGGGUACGUAUUAUUUUUCUGUUUUAAUACAAAUGAAAAGAGCUUCUUGAUUUGAGUAUGUAAGGGUUUAUUUAUUUAUUAUUCUUAACGUUCAGGCUGUUCCUGCAAUUCAAAAUGAUUGGCCCAAAGGCAACUAUAAGUUUGUUGAUGAAAAAUUGGGGAGAAACUUUGACGAGGAUGAAAUGGAUCGAAUGAUAGAAUGUGCUUUAGCAUGUGUAGAGCGUUAUCCACAAAAUCGACCAGAAAUGAGUAAGGUAAUUUCAUAAAGCUUCAUAUUCUAUUUUAUAUUAUGCACAUACAUUUGAGUUUUAAAUAAUUAAGCAUUAACAGUAUUUUUAUUAUGAUUAUAAAAUUAUUAGUUUAGUACUGUUAAAGAUAAUAAUUUAAAACUGUCAUAAAGAAAAUUCAUUAAAUAUUUAAUAAAAUUAUAAUUUUAGCUGCGUUUUUUAUUCAUUGUGAAAAAAUAAUUAAACCGUUACUUUAUUUUUAACAACAAAAGUAGAUGUAAUAAUCAUCAAUCUGUUAAUAUUAAUUUAUAGUUAUAAUUAAAAAUAUAAGAUAACAAUUUAUAGCUAUUGUUUUAAAUUUAUUUUUAUAGUAAUAAUUAUGAUAAACUAAUAACAUUCAUGUGUUGUAAUUAUACUCUAAUUUGGGGAAUAAAAAAAAACUUAAUUGCUAAAAGUUAAAUUUUGUAAGAAUUAUUAAUGAAGUUAAUCUAUUCCAUUUCUUGGCAGAUCCGGUACUUUUUUUUUUUCCCUUUCUCUAAUUACUUUUCUCGGCAAAGCAGGUUGUUGAAGUUCUAGCAGGAAACAUUCCUCGGAAAAAUCUCAAGAAUUGAGAUGAAAUGUUUGAAAAAGAAAAUUAUUUUUUUCCUUUUCAAUAGAAGUUGGAAACUUCCUUGAAAGGCCGAUUGGACAUUGAAAUAAAAAGAUAGACCUCAGUUGAAGUGGCAAAGGAGUGUAACUGGAAGACUUUCUGAAUUUUGCUUGUAUUGAUGUGUCUUGGAGACUAUUGCAAUUUUUUUUUUAAAAAGUUCCGUUUGAAAUAAAUCGAAUGUAAAAAAGUGAUUUAGCUUUUAUAAAAUCAUAUUAUCUUAAAGUAAUUUUUUUAAUCAAAUCUUUUUAGUCAAUAAAAUUAAAAUUUUAGUUAUUAUGUUUUUAAAUAUACAAAUUAAAUUAAAUUCUUAUAAAUUUUUAGUUUUCAAACAGGAAAAUAAAAGGUUUUGGUAGGUUUGAAUCCAAAUAAGAACCUUGAGAGAAUUAUAUCACCCCAAAUUGCUGGACUAUCUACAGUAGCAUUUCUUUUUCAAAAAACAAUUGAAAAUGAGGUUAAUUCUUAUUCUAUUAACUAAAAUUAAAAAACUUUUUUUUUUUAAAUGAAGAUUGGAGAAAUAAAAUUUAAGAUCUCACAUAUUUAUUUUUUUUAAAAUAACAAGAAAACUUCAUUAAUUCAAAGAGAACAAAGAAACAAUAUGAGAAUGAGGGAUAUCAAUCCAAACUCCUUGACCUGACUCAGAAUGAGCCGAUAUUGCUAGAAUAUGAGCGACAUCAUUCGCAGAUCUAUGAACAAAAACACACUUUGCUUCCUCAUAACUAGAUAGAAGCAGUUUACAAUCUUGAACCAAAAGGGCAAAAAACGAUAAAUCAUCUAACAAAACACAAUUAACUGACAUCACAAGUACCUGAGCAUCCAAUUCGAAAAGAACUCGAUCCCAUCUACACUCUUUAAUCCAGCUCAAUGCUUCCCGGAAUGCUAUAGUUUCAGCACACUUUGCAUCCAUCUGGCUAUAAAAAGAUGCUGCUCUAGCAGCCACAAAACUCUCAUCAUCCUUCCGGAUUACACAACCGAAACCUACCGAACCUCGUUGCAAGCUUAAAUAGGCGUCAAUGUUCGCCUUGAUCCAACCGUGCGGCGGAGGAGACCAGAUCGGGCGAGCCGGGUCGACAAUGGUGCUUACUGAGGACACGACCCGGGCUACUUUUCAUUGCUGCAAAAAAUUCAGAGCCAUGAAGAACACACCACUCGCAGUCUGACCCUGACUCUUCCAUACAACAUUGUUCCUAUUUUGCCACAAAGCCCAUAAGAUCAUUAGCAUAAGGGAGGCAUUUUCCACAGAAGCAGAAGAAAAGGCUAAAGAAAACCACUCAUUUAAAGAAGAUGCAGAAGGCGCAGGCCAACCCAAUGGCGAGCUUAACCAGCAGCUGCGGGCAAAAGGGUACUGAAUCAGAAUAUGCAAGACAUUCUCAGGGGCUACAUGACACAACAGGCAUGAAGGAUCAACUGGGACUCUCUUGGACUGAAGUGACGAGAGGCAAGGGACAACAUUAACUAGAGCCCGCCAGCAGAAAUUGAGCACUUUUGGGGGAACUUUAGCUUUCCAGAACCUUUUCCAUAUCUCGCUCCCUUCCCUAUGUUGAAAGCCAUCAACCAGGAACCUAUAUGCACUCUUAACCGAAUAGUGACCUUUGGACUCGAAUUUCCAGCACCAUGUAUCAGAACACGAUGAAAGACUAAGAGGGAUGUUCAAAAUACAACUUCUAUCUCUUUCGUUGAACAUCUGUGCAAUUAAACUCUCGUUCCAUCUGUAGUUAAUUAUGAGAUCUGAAACAACAACUCUAGCACAGUUCAAAGGAGGGGUUGUGGAAACCAGGGACUCAGGCAACUCUCUCAACCAGGGUUGCCCCCAGACUGAAACUGACUAACCAUUCCCAAUCCUCCAGUAAGCCCCAGCUCGAAUUAGACCCCGAGUUUUCCAUAUGCUGCGCCACAAAAAACUAGGGUUACUUCCCAAAGGAGCUUCAAAGAAAGAUUGUGUCGAAAAAUAGCGGGCCUUAAGGACACGAGCCACUAAGGACUGAGGCCUAUUUAAAUAUAUUUAUCACCAGAUUGUGAGUGUAAUAUUUAUUAUAUUUUAAUUAUAUUUUAAGAAUUUAAUACGCUAAUAAAUCCUAUAGAGAUGUAAUUGUAUAUUUAAUAUUAUUUUAAUCUUUAAGUCAAAAUCAAUAAUUUCAACUCCAACCAUAGGUUAUGGCACUAAUCAAGUAACAGAGAAAAAUAUUUUUAAAGGGAAAUACUUAUUUUUAAUAAAACAAAUUAACUCAGAGUUAGCUUCUUUUAUUAGUUUAUAUGAAUUUUAUUAUAUUAAUAAUAAAAAUAUAUUUGUUAAAUAUGACCAAAAUUUUAAAAAUGACCCUCUUUUAAAUUCCAAUAUUAAAAUGACCAAGCUUAUUAUUAAUUUAAUUCCAAUAACUUAUCAUAUUUCUCCUUAUUAUCCAUAUUAAACAAUGACCAAGAUUUUAAAAUGACUCUCUCUAAUUUAAUUCUAAUAUUAAAAAUGACCAAAUUUAUUAUCUAUAUUAAACAAUGACCCAGCUUUUUAAAAAUGAUCCUAAGAUCAAACUAACAACUUUGUUGUUUCUUCAUUUAUUAAUAUGCAAGUGGGACAUAAGAAAUCAUUAGUUAAUUAAUUUGGUACGUCCUAUUUUAUAAUACACUGACCAAUCUGAAAGCUGAUUGGCCCCCACAAAUGGAUUAAUUAAUAAUUCAACGUUCUUAAUUAAUGCCGCCUUCAUUGACAGCCUGGGUACUGUUCAGAAACUAACAAUAUAGUAACCUUUGCACCGACUCUGCAUAAUUUGUAUUUUUUUAAUACUCCCUACUUUGAAACUUUAAUUUUCGCUAUGUGUGAUUCAGUAGAUUCGAUUGAAAAUUAAAAUUUAAAUAUUUUUAAAAAUUAAGUUGAAUUAAUUUUAAUUAAAAAUUAAAUUGAACUGAAUUUAUUUAAUUCAAUAUUAUUCGAUUCGAUUUGAUCGAUUUAAAUUUUUAAUAAAUUUUUUAUUUUUUAUGUUUUAUUUUUAAUAAUUUAAAAUUUAAUUAAAAUAUUUUAAUUUUAAUAUAAUUUAAUAUUUUUAUAUUAUUAAAGAUAAUAAAUUAUUAUCAUUAAUCGGUUCAGUGUAAUUUUUUAAUUUUUUUUAUUAAAAUUUAAAUAAAUUGAAAUAAUUGAAAAUUUUAAAAUUAAAAAUCAAAACAAAUUAAAAUAAAUAAAAAAUUAAAUUAAAAUUUUAAAUUAAUUCAAUUCGACCAAUUUUUUCGAUAUAAACCAAAUACUAUUCACCAUAAUUUUUAUCAUUGCGGUCAAAAUUAGAUAAGAUAUUUUUUUAUUAAAAAAAUAUUAUGCACAUGUAAAACGUAUAGGUUAAAAAUAUAUUUACAUAUUUAUAUUUUAAUAUUAUAUACAAAACGAUACAAGAGUGUAUAUAUAUAUAUAUAUAGAUGACUGACUCUCUCUCUCCUUGGCUUUUCAUUUCCUACCUUGACUAACUCUCUCUCUCUCUGUCAUCGUAACCUUGUGGGCAGCCAUGGCUGGGUCUUACUUUCGCUGGUUCAAGAAUAACGAAGGAAACGCCAGUUGCCAAAACAGAGGAGGUAUAUCUUUUGGGCAUAUACUGUAAGAUAAGUCCAACUCUAUUGGAAUUUCUUACCUUCUAAUAUCUAUAUUAAUAUAUAAAAAUCCAAAUCACUGUAUCAUGAUCAUAUAUGACUAGAUUUGUUUGUUAUGUUAUAGAUCUAUUUUUCUUAUAAGAUUUAUCAAUUUUUGUUUUUCAGAUAUUAAUUAUUGACAAUAAAAC